GAUGAACGCUGGCGGCGUGCCUAAUACAUGCAAGUCGAGCGAACAGACGAGGAGCUUGCUCCUCUGACGUUAGCGGCGGACGGGUGAGUAACACGUGGAUAACCUACCUAUAAGACUGGGAUAACUUCGGGAAACCGGAGCUAAUACCGGAUAAUAUAUUGAACCGCAUGGUUCAAUAGUGAAAGACGGUUUUGCUGUCACUUAUAGAUGGAUCCGCGCCGCAUUAGCUAGUUGGUAAGGUAACGGGUUACCAAGGCGACGAUGCGUAGCCGACCUGAGAGGGUGAUCGGCCACACUGGAACUGAGACACGGUCCAGACUCCUACGGGAGGCAGCAGUAGGGAAUCUUCCGCAAUGGGCGAAAGCUUGACGGAGCAACGCCGCGUGAGUGAUGAAGGUCUUCGGAUCGUAAAACUCUGUUAUUAGGGAAGAACAAAUGUGUAAGUAACUAUGCACGUCUUGACGGUACCUAAUCAGAAAGCCACGGCUAACUACGUG
This 497-nucleotide ribosomal RNA is filed under the name uncultured bacterium. RNAcentral describes it as "partial 16S ribosomal RNA". It matches the Rfam family "Bacterial small subunit ribosomal RNA", at positions 28 to 507 of the family's 1533-position model. The record is from RNAcentral.